RNAcentral lists this long non-coding RNA (1411 nucleotides) under Marmota monax (woodchuck). Lineage: Eukaryota; Metazoa; Chordata; Mammalia; Rodentia; Sciuridae. The record is from RNAcentral.
GUCUGAUUGCCCUCCAUCCUAAAUGCAAGGGGAUUUGUGUGUGUGUAUAUGUGUGUGUGUGUGUGUUUGCAUGCACUGCCUUUUAUGUCUUCUCCACAAUAGGAUAAAAAGUAGAAUAUCAAAUCUUAUCUAUUUGUGUCAUUUAAUCCCUUUGACUUGGCCAAAAUUCUGAGUUACUACUUUCUUCUUAGCAGUCCUCCCUUCCACGUUGUUCUCCUUGCUGCCUGUGGUCUGGUUAGGAAUGCAUGUUCUGCUUCACCUCUAUUAGCAGAACCUGGAACCUGUAUGUCCCACUAAGAAAGAGGCAGGGGCUACCAUGUCAAAGUUGUAUUAUUUUGAUUUUAGAAAAGGAUUUAUUGGUUUGCCUAUUCCUCCCUCUUUCUAAAGUGAACUAGAGUCUACUUCCUUUUUUUUUAGUUGUAAAUAGACACAUUACAUUUAUUUUGUUUAUUUAUUUUUAUGUGAUGCUGAGGAUCAAACCCAAUGCCUCACACGUACAAGCAAGCACUCUACCACUGAGCCACAACCCCAGCCCCUGGAGUCUACCUCCAAUGAGAACCUGUGUUAUAUACAUUUUUCCCACCUUUUUUGGGGGGGGUCUGUUUUUGCUUUUUUAUUAUUUAUAUUUAUAAAUUUUUAGGCCCUUGGAGCCAAAAAAUUCAACACUUAGUUGGCUUUUUACAGAAACGGUUUGCAAAACCACACCUAGUUUUAUCUUUUUCAAGAUCAUCCACAAUUUCUUUUUAAAAUAUCUUUAUUGAGAUAAAAUCCACGUAUCACAUAAUGUACUCAUUUAAAAUCUACAAUCCAGCGGUUUUUAAUCAUGAUUUCUUUGGAAAUUUAUGUGUGUGUGUGUGGUGUGUGUGUGUGUGCAUGUGUGUGUUUAAAGAAUCUAUAAUUCAUCGCUUCUCGGCCUUUUGGCUAAGAUCAAGUGAAGAAUCUAUAAUUCUCCAGGCACUCCAGGCACACUUGUACACAUGCCUGUAAUCUCAGCAGCUCAGGAGGCUGAGGCAGAAAGAUUGCAAGUUCAAAGCCAACCUCAGCAACUUAGCAAUGAAAGGCGAGUGACUCACCUGAGAUGGAAAUUCAACCAAGAGAGUUUAUUGGGGGGCUGCCUGAGGGGGAAGAAAUCGAGAGGAAGAGUGCAGUAGCCUGAGCCUGCAAGCUUCAGCUUAAGAAAGGUUACUUAGGCGACUUGGUGGGUGCUGAUUGGCAGGGUGACUUAGGAACAGGCGAGGGGACACUGUGUCCUGCGGGGAUUGGUCGAGAAAACAUUUGACUUUGGCGCCCUUCAGUGAAGGAGUGAGUGGUGGGGGUAAGGAAUUACAUGAUAUUCUUCUCAAGAGAUAGAAACUUAAAUUUAGCAGGGAGAAACCUAAAGGCAAGGUCUCCCACACACCCAACAUGCAAG